GGCCGAUUUAUUUAACUGCUAGUUAAGAGCUUUCUGCAUAGUGGGCUGGGAUACCGCACAGCUGUGGCAGCCAGGCUUGGGGCUGCAGCGACUGGGGCUUGCGCGCCCGCUGCCCCUGCGGCUGAUCGCCGCUCCGGCUCCCGGUGCACUCAGGGUGCCGCCACCGCCGCUUCCUUCUCUUCCCCACUGGCUGCAGAGAGUGAAUAUGCCCCGGCCUCCUGUCUGCUCUUCUGUCUGUACUUCUGUCAGUCUGACCGGCAGUCAGUCAGUCUGGCAGCUCAGCGCAGGAUUCUCGCCUUGCUGCGCUCUGCUCUUGAAGCUGUCACUCUCUCAGAAUGCCAGUCUUUGCGUUGGUCUAUCCGCCCCUCAGAGUCCCUUGAUCCCACCAGCAAUGCAGGGUCUCUCUUGCCGUCUUCUGUGCCUAUACUGCCUCUCCUACUCUGAGCCCCUGGCCACUUCCCUCGGUCAGAGGAGGGCGUCUGGAGGGAGGGAGCACACGAGUGUUUCUUUCUCUCUUUCUAUCCUCUAUUUCUGUGUCUGUCUCUGCCUACUGAGUCAGCCAGAGUGUCUCUCUCUCUCUCUCUCUCUC
RNAcentral lists this long non-coding RNA (589 nucleotides) under Marmota monax (woodchuck). Lineage: Eukaryota; Metazoa; Chordata; Mammalia; Rodentia; Sciuridae. The record is from RNAcentral.